Molecule: non-coding RNA, 54 nt
Organism: Salmo salar (Atlantic salmon)
Lineage: Eukaryota; Metazoa; Chordata; Actinopteri; Salmoniformes; Salmonidae
Source: Rfam
UGCAGACAUUACUGUAAAUCGCUUUGGAUAAAAGUGUCUGCUAAAUGGCAUUUA